This is a long non-coding RNA of Vidua chalybeata, 1359 nucleotides long. RefSeq lists it as uncharacterized. The record is from RefSeq and is a predicted model, not a curated record. The transcript has 2 exons. NCBI's taxonomy places the organism in Eukaryota, Metazoa, Chordata, Aves, Passeriformes, Viduidae.
ACGGGGACAGAGGCCCCUCUGUGACCCUGCCACUGCAGGGGCCAUCCACAAUGGAACCAGGAUGGUUUGGGUGGGAAGGGAGCCUAAAACUCACCCAGCUCCUGGUGGGACAGAUCCUGGUGCAGGCUCUGCAGGAAUCCCUGGCAAUGUCACCGGCGCUGCCGUGACAGCGGAACCGGGGCUGCUUUGGCUCCUCCACGCUCCCACAUGCAGCAGGAGAUGAGGAUGAUGCCUCAGGGAUGAGGAACCCACAUCCUCCCUGGGCGAGCUGUGCCAGUGCCUCCCCAUCCUUUUAUUCGGGAAGGACCUUGAAGGACGGCGGCACGAGUGUUGAGGUGAUGGGAUUUGUGAAAACCCAACCAUUUUCCACUGGAACGCCUCCCCUUUGCCAGCAGAGGUUUCUUCUGGACAGCCCUGGCUCGUCGGCUGCUGCAUUUCUGCCGCUGCCUUCCCCUGCAGUGAUGUAAUGCGGGAGGCAGCACACGUUCCCAGGCAUCUGCAUCCGCAGCACGGGGACACGUGCGGGGACAGCGGGGGGUGAGCCACCUCGGAGAGGGCUCAGCCGCCUUCACCUCGCUGCUCCUGCAGCCCCGUCCCCGGGGACUGCGGAUCUCAGCCUGUGACGCACGGAAACCGGGAGAGUUUGGAGCCUGGGAAUUGCUAAGAACGGGGCUUUUUGCCCGAGCUGGAAGGUGGCUCGUGGAGGCUGAACUGGUUCAGCUCUCAGACCCUGGUUUGGCCCAGCUCUGCUAAAAACGUUCCCUGUUUUGCUCAGAGAUGCUGCUGUGGUUGUCCCCCCUCCCUCCCUGGUUUCUGUGGGGUCUGCAGGAGGGACCUGCACCCUCUCCCUGUCACCCCUUCUCUCCUGUCCCACCCCACUGAAGGGCUGAGGGAGUUCUGUCCCUCCUUCCCCAUGGAUUUGGUGUCCCAUCUUCCCCUUCCCUCUCAAGGUCAGGCCCCCAUCCCUCCUUCCCCCCUUCUCUGCCUUCAUCUUCCUCAGAGGUUUGGGGUCUCUCCCCGAUCCAGACCCUCUCCACCCCACCCAGUUAUCACCUGGCACCUCCUUUCUUGCUUUUCACCACCUUCCCCCCACAUGGCUGCUCCUCUGGGAUGGAUUCCACCCCUUCCCUGCAUCCUGCCUCUUUCCCAGGGGAGGGAGGGGAGGGAGGGAUGCAAGGAUGGCAAGGAAGGGUAAAAGGAAGGCUCAGCUUCAGGGGAAUAAACUUCAGGCCAGGCAGGAAUUCCUGCAGCAGCCUUCAAACCUCUCCUGCAAAGAGCUUUAUGUCCACAAGGAUCCAGCCCAGCAGAGGGAUGCAGCUUCUUUGCCACUACAGUAAAUAAAACCUUUUAUCAUUUUAA